Molecule: long non-coding RNA, 639 nt
Filed under: Homo sapiens (human)
Lineage: Eukaryota; Metazoa; Chordata; Mammalia; Primates; Hominidae
Description: non-protein coding lnc-FUBP1-2:6
Source: RNAcentral
UUACUCUUUAACACUCAUGCUGAAGUUCUGAUAUUUUGUUGAAAUCCAUUGUUUUACUCUUUGCAUAUUUGUUGGCUCUUUGCAUAUUAAUAUAUUAGACUACAUGCAAAUACAGUCUGUCUUGCCAUUGUCUGUUGAAGUGCAGGUUUGAUCCAGCCAGUAUAGAACUAGCUCUGUAGGGGUGAGGAGGACUGUGCUGUGUAUCAUCCUUGAUUGUGUUCCUUCAAGGAGCAUUGCACUUGCCUUCCCAGACCUUCCACCUUAGGUUCUGCUGCAAAAAGCACCAGUGCUGAAGAUGCUGCAAGCACCAAAUCAUAGCUCAUAAAAUCAGGUCCUGAGAUAGUUACCCAUAAAGAGGAAUCCUUUGAGUGUAUGCCAUUGGUGAGCCGAUGAGCAUGGACCAUAGAAGGGCUCAAUGUAGAAGAAACUACCCGUGUGUAAAAAGAAGAUUGGCUUAAAAUGGCUACUGUGAUGGGAACAGUGUCUUAGGGAGAUGCAGCUUGGACUUGAGGUAAAUUGAAUACUUUACAACUGUGGUUUAGAGUUUGCUUUAAUGACAUUGUAUGUAAAAGGUCACAUGAUUGCUGUAAUUUUGUAUUCAUUAUGGUUUCCUCAAUAAAUGUACAUUGAUGACUAUUA